Molecule: ribosomal RNA, 438 nt
Filed under: uncultured bacterium
Lineage: Bacteria
Description: bacterial SSU rRNA
Rfam family: Bacterial small subunit ribosomal RNA
Source: RNAcentral
CCUACGGGAGGCAGCAGUGGGGAAUAUUGCACAAUGGGGGGAACCCUGAUGCAGCGACGCCGCGUGAGUGAAGAAGUAUUUCGGUAUGUAAAGCUCUAUCAGCAGGGAAGAAAAUGACGGUACCUGACUAAGAAGCCCCGGCUAACUACGUGCCAGCAGCCGCGGUAAUACGUAGGGGGCAAGCGUUAUCCGGAUUUACUGGGUGUAAAGGGAGCGCAGACGGCUGUGCAAGUCUGGAGUGAAAGGCGGGGGCCCAACCCCCGGACUGCUCUGGAAACUGUAAAGCUGGAGUGCAGGAGAGGUAAGCGGAAUUCCUAGUGUAGCGGUGAAAUGCGUAGAUAUUAGGAGGAACACCAGUGGCGAAGGCGGCUUACUGGACUGCAACUGACGUUGAGGCUCGAAAGCGUGGGGAGCAAACAGGAUUAGAUACCCUUGUAG